GAAGGAUCAUUACCGAGUGCGGGCCCUCUGGGUCCAACCUCCCAUCCGUGUCUAUCUGUACCCUGUUGCUUCGGCGUGGCCACGGCCCGCCGAAGACUAACAUUUGAACACUGUCUGAAGUUUGCAGUCUGAGUUUUUAGUUAAACAAUAAUUAAAACUUUCAACAACGGAUCUCUUGGUUCCGGCAUCGAUGAAGAACGCAGCGAAAUGCGAUAAUUAAUGUGAAUUGCAGAAUUCAGUGAAUCAUCGAGUCUUUGAACGCACAUUGCGCCCCCUGGUAUUCCGGGGGGCAUGCCUGUCCGAGCGUCAUUGCUGCCCUCAAGCACGGCUUGUGUGUUGGGCUUCCGUCCCUGGUAACGGGGACGGGCCCAAAAGGCAGUGGCGGCACCAUGUCUGGUCCUCGAGCGUAUGGGGCUUUGUCACCCGCUCCCGUAGGUCCAGCUGGCAGCUAGCCUCGCAACCAAUCUUUUUAACCAGGUUGACCUCGGAUCAGGUAGGGAUACCCGCUGAACUUAA
This 516-nucleotide ribosomal RNA is filed under the name Aspergillus amstelodami. RNAcentral describes it as "eukaryotic LSU rRNA". The stretch from base 156 to 309 matches the Rfam family "5.8S ribosomal RNA". Lineage: Eukaryota; Fungi; Ascomycota; Eurotiomycetes; Eurotiales; Aspergillaceae. The record is from RNAcentral.